UCCAGAAAAAAAUGUAUGGGGGGUUGGAAGGCAGUUUUUGUCAGCACCCGCCACCCAGACAAUUGUAAUUGAGAAUUAUAGUGUGAAAAGUUGCUCUGAUACCCAUCACCCAUGUAGUAUUAAUAUAAUGUGCCUUCCAACCCCCCCAUACAUUUUUUUUCUGGAAUAGCCCUGACUUAAAAGUAUGUAUUUCAUAUUUGAUUUUCUAUUUCAGAAAAGAACUCCCUGUCUUUCAUUGAAACUUCAGCAUUGGACUCAACUAAUGUGGAAUCAGCAUUUCAAAAUAUAUUAACAGGUUGGUGGUAGUGUUUAAUCAUUUUCCUUCAAAACUCUAAAAGUGGCCUCAGUGGCCAAGUGAUCUAAGUAGUUACUUCUGUAAUCACAAGCCAGUCAACACUGAGGUUGAGAAAUUGAACCCCGCUCUUGUUCAUGCACUAAAUUGCAAUCUUUAUUGACUAGGAUUGUCAGUUUUCCUAUCAAAGGUCAGUGGUUUUCUUUGGGCAUUGUGGCUUCCUCCACCAAUAAAAACUGGCCGCCACGUAAUAGCCUAAAUGGGUGCUUAAAAGUGGCGUUAAAACACCAAAAAUCAAAAAUAAAUCAAAUCAAAACUCUAACCUCAGAAAAAAUGCAGAAUUAUCAACAAAUAACGUGAUACCCAGGAACUGAUAAAAUAACAGAAACUUAAUCCAUAACUGGUGAAUACUGAUGGAUAUAAUAUUUUAAAGGGGGGACAUAGCUAUUUUGAAGCAAAAAAAAUCACCAAUUUACCCAGACAACUGUACAGCCUGCAGUCUAAUCUAUAUAGAGAGACUGACAUUGUCACUAGAAAAAUAAUGAUGCACACACACACAUGCUAGUAAAUUUACGCUGUCUUCAUUUAUAUGGCUUUAAACAAAUCCUUCCAAUUAAUACAAAGAAUUAAUAUUUGCCAAAUGUGUAUGUUUUAUUAUAUGGAACAAAGUUAUCAAAAACUUAUGUUUUUGAUACCUAAUGCUUUUGUUUCCAAGGUGAUGAUAGAACUGCUUUGAAAUUAUGAUUAUACUGUUUAUUAUUCAUAUGGUAAUACAAAUCCUUCAAAUUAUUUUUUUCUUAUUUCAGAAAUUUAUAAAAUAGUAUCACAGAAACAAAUCCGGGACAGCCCUGACGACGACAACACACCUAGCAACAAUGUACAAAAUAUCAUAGUCGGACCUACAGAUAGCUCCACGCCAAAGUCUAAGUCGUGCUGUAAUGUAUGAGAGUCGCGUGGUUAGAAAGAACAAUUAAUAAGACCAAUUAUAUGUCUAUAUGACAUCAUAUUGAACGAUAUGUUACUAAAGAAAGGGGAAGAACUCCACAGUUUCUCAUUUGACGACAUUCUGCAUUAUUGUAAAAGGGGCUUGUUUCUGUAAUAACCUGUAAUAUCAACUUUUGUGUUUAAAUGAUUAUGGUCAUAUGGUGUGAUUGUUACAGUGUGUUAAAAAUGUUUAAGUUGUUUUAAUUUUAUUAUUCAUGAUGGUUUAUCCUACUUCUACUCUUUAAUUAAAAAAAAAAACGAAAAAUAGAAGUCGACUCAAAACUUAUAAAUAUUGGUUUUUUCUUUGGGACAUAUUUUGGGAGAUAUUCUUUUACCAUUCCUUUACGUCCUUUUGUUUUUAUUCAUGAAUACAUUAUCAAAGAAAUAAAAUGUUGAGUCCAUUAAUCUUCCUUUAACUAGAAUAUGUGAGACUACAUGAAUGAUUGAAGUUUUUGUUUUUAUACGUUGUAAUUAAGCUUAAUUUCUGAUUUGCUAGUUGUAUUGAUUACAUACUGUGGUAUUUAACAAUACUGGAGAUCCAAAGUAAUUGUUGUUCUUGUAACAAACUUAUUUUUCCAUUUACCCUCAAAUUAUCUCCUGUCGAUUUCAUAUCUCCAUAAAUUUGCAUGAUUCUUUAUUCACUAGAAGAUCAUAGAUUUCAUUGUAUUUGAGAUAAUCAUCGGCUCAAAUAUCACGUAUAACAUUCCGUUAAUGGUUUUGAAUGUAAACUUGAAUUCCCAUGUUUUGUUUCUAUAGUAAUGUUUGAUGAUACAGCUGGAUUGUAUUGUUGUAAUUUAAGGUGGUACCUAACACUACAGGGAGAUAUCUCCGUAAAAUCAGCAAAACGUUUUAAUUACGUUGUGUUGUUCAGGGAAUAUCAAGCUUUUCAAUGAUCAGAAUAAGUGUUUGUCAAACUGCUAUUUAACCAGUGUAAUUUUUCUGAUUAAACGAUUGGUUCAAAUUUUUUUGAAAUUUUUAUAUUUUUGUCUAAGUGUCAAAGUAAAUACUUUGUCAAAAUUUUAAGAAAAUUAAACGAGCCAAUUCAAUUUUAGUUACGGUGUUGGGUACCAACUUAAGCUUGUUUUACACUAAAAGACUGCCAGUAAAAUGUUUAUGUUGAUGAUUUUAACACAGUCUGCACUGUAAACCACCCGUGAGUUUUUGAAAAACUGUGUUUAGACACCUAAUAAAAUGUUAGAAUAUUGGUGUUCCAACAAGUAGUUGGAAAAAAUCUUGGUGCAGAUAUCUUAUUUUUAAAUUCAGAAUAAAGGGUGGUGGUUUUUAUAUUUUUGCUACUGUGUGUCAGAUAGAAAGUGCAUUUUAAACCUUAAAUAUAUUGAAGAAUUAAACUUUAGUUAUAGCUAUGACUCAUAUUGGAAAAAUGAAUUGAUACUGUAAAAAGUAGACCAUGUUGUGCUGUAGAUUGAUUACAGCUGAUAUUCUAAUGCUUGCAAAGUAAAACUUUGGUUGGCUUGCUUGCUUUGUUUGUAUGAUUGUUUUUACAAGCUUUGUAAAUAGAUUGACAUCUUUAAAUAAUAUAUAUAGGCAUAGUUUAACCUGUAUAUAUUAUAUUUGAAUUUAAUUGGUUGUUAUACUAAUAUUAUUCUACAAUAUACAAACAAAGCAAGUAAGCUUACCAAAGUUUUGCUCUACAUGCUGUAGGAAAUUAGCUGUAACUGUUUUUAAUUAGUUUGAACAACAUGUACAUGAUGUAAGUCUGUAAUCAGUCUUGGGUAUAAUUUAUGUAGUAUUGUUCCAGAACAGGCCUUAUUUAUUUGAUUGUGACUGACUGGUAUGGUUAUAUAAUGUAGAAUGAAGUCAUAUGUAGAAUCUGUUUAUCUAUUAAAGCUAUAUCACAUAUUUUUAAACAAAUCUGUACAAUUUGUGUGAGUGUAUUUUAUUUAAAUGAUGAGUACGAAUGUGUGGGUGUGAUUGUGUAAUUAUUAUACCGCGAGACUUGUAUUUAUAAUAGUCUGGCUUUUUGUUGAUGUUGUUUCUCAAAUUUCCAUUUGUUUGAGGUAAAGUCUGUACAUAAAAAAAGUACAAGUAAUGAAUGCAUUUGUGUAUAUCAGAUUGAUAUUUUCUUAAGUUUGAAUAAGUUUCAUUAAGGAAGGGAUGUCAGUAUACCAUUUGAUGGCCAAUACAGCUUUCAUUACAUGUGAAAAGGCAUAACACAUGAUUUCUAUUCAAAGAUAUCCUAGUUCUGUUUAACCAUUCAAAUAUGAUUCAAAGGGGUACAUUACUAUUAUAAAAUAUCUAUUUCUUUUUUAGAAAAAGAUUCAAGCAAUUGUAUGAAAUAAAACAUUAUUAUAAGCAGAAUUUACCCCAUAUUGCCCUGUUCUUGAAUUCUGUAUUAAUUAAACAAUCUUUGUGAAGUCAUGAAAGUUCUGUACAACAAAAUUUAAAGCUAAAGCAACUUGUAUGAAUAUAUAGCAAGAAAAUUGUUUUAAAAUAUCAAUCAUGAAUCAGGGAAAAGUCAAUUUUGUUUUAAGUGUAUGUUGGCAUUAAUAAUGUGGCUGUGAUGACUUUUGACCAGGUAAAAUGCUAAAUUAUUGCUAAAGAAGACUGCCAUUAUCAAAUUGAGCAACAAAAGGGAAAAAAACACUAAAAUACAGUAACUUAAUCCAAUGAUUACAUGUUUUGAAUAAGUGGCUGCACCCUUUAUUUCUACCCUAACAUUAUAAAAUGUACCUUAUUGCUAGCAUGUUGGUAUAUUUUUGUUACUGCUUUAUUAACUCAAUAUUAUGACUGUAUAUUUGUUAAUAUUUGAUGUAAAAUCUUGUAUGAGAUUAUAAUAAAUUAUUUCUUUGAAAAAAUCUAUAUUCCUAUACAAUUAAAUUUCUAGUGGGCUUUGAUUACACAUUUCAGCUCAUGUGCCCCUGGUCUAGUGGGAAUGGACACAUGUUUGAUACAUAGGUAUUUUCCUAAUCAGCCUUUAGUGUCAUGAUACAUUGAUAAAUUUAUUAUAUUGGAAAGAUUUCAAGACAAAAUAUAAAGAAUGUCAGAGAAAUAAAAGAUGAUAUAAUGAAUUAUAGUAAACAGUCCUUUCUGGUCGUAUAAUGCCAGGACUGUAAGAGCUGUGGAAACAACUUUGAGGCCACUCUUUAAAAAAUAUUUUGUUUGAUGUUGCCUAUUAUUAAGUAGGGAUUUAAAAGAAAUUGGUGAAAAGACAUAAAUUAAUAGACAAAGUAAAAGCAGGAACAAAUAUUUUUUUUAAAUCUGAUAUGAUUCUUUGGGUAGGCUGCUUUUCAGGCAACAUCAAACAAAUAAAAUUUUGUGUUUGGCCUGAUCUUACUGUGAUUAUUAUGUAAAUAUAUGUUUAUUUUUUCAUCACAAAUGCUUGUUUAUCGUAUGUCUGUACGAGUGUAUGUGAGAGUUGAGGAGGGUACAUUUUAUAAACAAAACUGAUAGAAUAAAAAUGUUAACAUUUAUCUCAUCGU
Molecule: long non-coding RNA, 4716 nt
Filed under: Mytilus galloprovincialis (Mediterranean mussel)
Lineage: Eukaryota; Metazoa; Mollusca; Bivalvia; Mytilida; Mytilidae
Source: RNAcentral